RNAcentral lists this ribosomal RNA (393 nucleotides) under uncultured bacterium. RNAcentral describes it as "bacterial SSU rRNA". It matches the Rfam family "Bacterial small subunit ribosomal RNA", at positions 28 to 417 of the family's 1533-position model. The record is from RNAcentral.
GACGAACGCUGGCGGCGUGCUUAACACAUGCAAGUCGAGCGGUAAGGCCCUUUCGGGGGUACGACGAGCGGCGAACGGGUGAGUAACACGUGGGUGACCUGCCCUCCAGCUCUGGGAGUAAGCCCGGGAAACUGGGUCUAAUACCGGAUAUGACUCCAUGACGCAUGUUGUGGGGUGGGAAAGCCUUGUGCGGCUGAGGAUGGGCCCGCGGCCUAUCAGCUUGUUGGUGGGGUGACGGCCUACCAAGGCGACGACGGGUAGCCGGCCUGAGAGGGCGACCGGCCACACUGGGACUGAGAUACGGCCCAGACUCCUACGGGAGGCAGCAGUGGGGAAGUCUUGCGCAAUGGGCGAAAGCCUGACGCAGCGACGCCGCGUGAGGGAUGACGGCCU